Phacochoerus africanus (Common warthog) is the source of this 4622-nucleotide RNA transcript. It is a transcript of the gene named protein phosphatase 2 regulatory subunit Bdelta, with no coding region annotated. The transcript has 4 exons. The record is from RefSeq and is a predicted model, not a curated record. Lineage: Eukaryota; Metazoa; Chordata; Mammalia; Artiodactyla; Suidae.
CACGGCAGCCGGAUCCUUGACCCACUGAGCGAGGCCAGGGAUCGAACCCACAUCCUCAUGGAUCCUAGUCGGGUUUGUUAACCGCUGAGCCAUGACGGGAACUUCUGUGUGUCUGCAUGUUAUAAAGAAAUGUCAUGAUUUCAUUAUUUUGGGGAUACACCUUACAUGUGAGGGAAAUAUUUUAAAUCUUAAGACUCGGCCAUCUGCCACCUCACGUGUUGUUAACUCCAUAGUUUGCUUUUAAAAUAAACAGCAGUAUACAUUCAUAACGUUAUUAAUAUCAAUCAUAAUUAUUAAUGUAAUUAUACAUAAAUUAUGUAUUUACAAAUACAUGCAAACUAUGUGAUAUUUAUCAUGUGCUCGUAGAGGCCCGUGUUCUAACAUCUGGUCUUACUUCUUUCAGAUGCACAGCUGAGGUUCUCUCUCUUCCUCCCAAUUCCACUUCCAAGCUUUCAUCCUUCCUUCCCUCGUGGCAUCUUCUGCCACGAGCCUGGCGUAGCCCUGCUUUGGAACUUCUAUCAAAAUAGAUGUGCUGCUGCCGCGCCUUCCUGACCUAGUGGACUGUUAGAGGUCCGCAUUUCUUAGUUUCGCCUUUGGCUCUUCUGCCGGAAAGGCUGUGUCUGUCCAUUUGUGGAGUCGUCUGAGUGACCGGAGAGAGCCCUUGGAGUCGCAUCAGCCAAACGUAUCAUGAGGUUUGUCUGCAGUCAGGCCCCAGUUAUGCUCAGAGUAAAAGCCGCCCUCAUUCUCCGGAAGAAGGUAAUGCUGACAGCAGCUGCCAGAGUUGCGAGCCAGAGUUUGAAAAGAAAUUGAAGAAAAAUGAACCAAAUUAGGUGGUUCCUGCAACAGAAUGCUGCUCAUUUUCUGCUCUCUACAAAUGGUUUUGAGGCGCCAGAAGAGCCCAGCAGUAGGUCCUUCUUCUCCGAGACUCCCUGUCGGUGAAGAUGCGGGACCUCAACGGGGAGAGCCGGCCCGUCCAGACCGCCAGGUGAGGCCAUGGUGGGGAUGCUGCCUGCCGUGCAUGCAACCGUCCCCCUACCUUCCCGCGCCUUCACUAAGGGCCAUGCGUGCCUCCGAGGCGAGCCGUGUCCCUGUCCGGGACGACUGCACCCUCGACCCGUGUGGGCGCUGCUGGAACGGCUCCGACGGGUGAGGCCUGCCUCAGGUCCCAGAGGCAGCCCGGUGGGGCGCGGGGCCGCCCCUCACCUCGCUUUCGAGUCCAUCCGCGUGUGAACAGUGAGGGUCGUGUGUGCUGUUUCCUGCUCAGCGAGCGGAUGACAGCUGUUUGUGUUGUUCCCAAGAUGAGUGGAAGAGCAGGCGGGGAGUUACCCUGUGGCCUGUGGGACGGCGGCGUGUUCCAGUUUGCGUGUGCCCUGGGGACACGUGGAGCAGCACCUCGGAGGUCUGGGGUGCUCAGACAGGAAGUGGGGGUGGCCGGGCGGCGUCCUGUCUGUAACGUUCUAGCAAAGGAGGGGUGUCGCCUGGGCCCGUCGUGGGAGCGAGCAGAGCGGGGACUGCCGCUGGCGGUGAGACACGGGCCCUUGGCUCAGACACCUAGAGACGGGUGUGGCACCACCAUCUCUUCUGGGGCAGUUGGGCUCACAGACAAAUAAGGCCAGGGGGCCUGCAGCGCAGGAGGACACAGGGGCCAUGGCCUGGCACCCGCACCAGGUUGGCCCUGGAAGCUGGGACCCACAGGAGUGGAAAAGGCAUCCGUUGACCUUCAGGCGGAGCCUGAGGGCAGUCUGUCUGUCUGAGACCUUGGUGGGGGGGGGCGGGUGUCACCAUACCCGCCCUCCCUCUGCACGGGGCCGGGGGGCUCGUGUUUGUACCACCUGGGAACGUGUUCCACACGCUGACCACGGGCCACCUCAGUGUCUUCGCUGUGGGGGGUGGAGGGGGGGCUGCAUCAGGGACAGCGCAGCGCAAGCCUCACACAGGCCCAGGUGCAGGGUUGGCAUCCUGGCCAGGGCACCGAGCCCGGGGCCGCCACUUUUCAGAGUGGUAGACAAGGCUGCUGGGAGCACAUGUGCUGAGAACACGCACACGUGGGGGCGCCAGUGUGGGCGACGGUGGGCUGUGACCCUGAGAGCUCAGCUCCCGACACAGAGGGAGGGUGUGGGAACGUUCCAGAAGAGGAGGAGCCAGAGCCUGAACACAGAGACGACCCGCCCCCUCAGAGAGGAAUCAAGCGGGACUCGCCGAGCUGAGCAGAGUCGUGGAGGGCCCUGGAACCACAGGCCCGAGCAGCACGAGGAGACCCGGAAUCCGUGAACGGAAGAUGGGGUGCAUUCUGAGAAAAACGUUAGAUCAUUCUAAGAAAAACGAUCAGGAGAAAUCACCCGGAAUGCAGCUCAGGGACCCAGAGAGGAAGUGUGGACGCCGGGUGCAGGGCGGCCGCGCAGCUCACCGCCCGCAGGCCCCACCUCUGUCCCAAGUCCAAGGCGCAGCACGUGCCAGUGUCCCCGCAGGGUUCAGAGAAGCCAGGAGGCUGCGUGUCAUCGUUCUCUCCCACGUUCAUCCUUUCUGCCUGUGGGAGGUGUCCCAUCAGACACUAGGGGACUUGCCCACGGCCAGGAUCAGCCCUGCACUUGUGAACCAAGCGGCAGCCUUCUCAUGGUGCCUGGAAGCCCGGCCUGACGCUGCGGUGACGGCCGGAGCGCUCAGGGCGAGCGGGAGGCCCCCAGUGACACUGCUCUCAUGGCUGCAGGCGCUCGGAAGCCCUGGCUUGGACUCGGCAGCAUCUGCCCUCAGCCCGCCAUCCUCCCUUCUGUAGGAAAAGACCAGAAGCUUCUCCCAGCACGGUCGAAGCGGAUCGCGUGAAGCACGACUCGCUCUGGAGACCCGGACGCUGUUAGAACGCAUCCUGAAGACAUGCGGCCUGGGCCCCGGCGCAGCUAUGGGGUGUGCUGUGUCGGGAGGUGCUGCCUUCCUCCCGGUGGCAGGACUCUUCCCGACUGUCCCAGAGCCUGUCUCGUCACAGGGAAAAUCUCCCCUAAGGUAAAAUGCGUGUAAAGCCUUGUGUGACCAGCCGCGCGUGAAGAUGGUGACGGCGCAGUGGUGUCUGCGGGGCACGGGUGGGUGGGGGGCUCGGCUGGGAACCGCGGACGAGUGCAGGAGGGAACAGACAGGUCCAGGCCUGGACGGGUGAGCCCGUCGGGGUCUGUACCCUGGCCGAAAAUGCAGGGCGCAGGGAGAAGCAUGUACCCGUUGCUCUUUCCUCUAAUAAACAGACUGUGCUUUGUAUCGACAUGAUUACAUGUGUGACGUUUAGUAGGAAGUUCUCACUGCCUUUCUCCUGACCAUUUCCGGUUUUCACCUCUUACUCCUAGAAAGGACUGUGGCGUGGCCUUGGGGUCACGGCUGUGACCCGCUCCGUCCGACGGCCGGGCCGGGCGGGAAGGUGGGUUCCCAGUCGCUGAGUCUCCUGCUCUCCUGUUCCGAGCAGCGCGACCACGACCGUAUCCAGCCACGGCUUCUUCAGGAUGUUCGACGGGAGCCCACGGAGGGAUGUUAGGCUGGAAGCGUCCAGAGAGAACAGCGGACCUCGUGCCAGCCGGGAGCCCCGCAGAGCGAGCAGGGCGGUCGGAGAAAGACGAGAGGAGCGUGGCCAGCCUGGACUUCAUCCGGAGGUUCUCCCUGCCGCCUGGCGCCCAGCUGAGCGCGUCAUGGCUGCGGCCGCCACCAGCAGCCUGCACGACCUCCAGCACAGAGUCACCUGAGAGGCGACGGGCCCGGUCCUCCUGGCAGAGGAGAGGCCUCCUGCUUCCCCGGGCAGACUGAGGGAAGCCCGGCGGGUCCCUGCACUUCUGCUUCAGAGCGCUGGAGCGUGUGCAGAGCUUCUGACUUGGAGCGCACCUGUGCCCAGGUGAGGUCUGGGAAGAGCCUUAACUGCAGCCACCCCUGAGCAGGAAAGGGCAGGAGCAGCAGCAGCACAAUCCCUGCUGGGACAUCACCACCUGCCUGAGCCUCCAGUUCGCCGUGGCCGGCACGUCCAUGCUCUGUAAACCUGUGUGAAAAGUACUGCGGGGGGACCUGCCCGCUGGACUUUGCGCUGCGCCUCAGGCCGUCGGAUUUCAGCCGUUUUAACUGUUGGGUGAUGCCACCUGGACCUUGGUGGUUUAUUUUUAAAGUAGGGUCUUCAGUAUCAACGCAGAUUUCCCAAGACCAAAAUCCCAGAGGUAACACACUAAGUGACAGGAACCUCACCCGCAAGCCCAGGUCUCGGCGGCGUCCGGGGGCGGGACAGCGGGGCUUCCAGGCUCCUGCGAGGGCAGGGCGCGUUCUGGUUACCGGCGCUGUGGACAGGCAGGGACGAAGCGUCUUGUCGUCCCUGCCUCUGAAUUGACGCGGACGGUGCCGCUUGAGGUCGCUUUCAUUUGGACGUCGAGGGUCACCAGGACAUUGAGCUUAAAGCUAGCUCUUGCUGGGUGUGGCUGGAGGCGCAGCUUACAGAUCUGACACGGGGGACAGAGUUGCUUAAGUACCCGUCAGCCCUGGUCCCUAAGAAGCAGCAGUUCUAGGAGUUCCCGUCGUGGCUCAGCAGUAAUGAACCCAACUGGUAUCCAUGAGGAUGCGGGUUCGAUCCCUGGCCUCGCUCAGUGGGCUAAGGAUCCGUGAGCUGU